Molecule: transfer RNA, 77 nt
Filed under: candidate division WWE3 bacterium CG_4_10_14_0_2_um_filter_41_14
Lineage: Bacteria; candidate division WWE3
Also listed under: 1 other name
Description: tRNA-Ala
Rfam family: tRNA
About the family: Transfer RNA (tRNA) molecules are approximately 80 nucleotides in length. Their secondary structure includes four short double-helical elements and three loops (D, anti-codon, and T loops).
Source: RNAcentral
GGGGCUGUAGCUCAGUUGGUUAGAGCACCACGUUUGCAACGUGGGGGUCAGGAGUUCGAAUCUCCUCAGCUCCACCA